RNAcentral lists this non-coding RNA (160 nucleotides) under bovine gut metagenome. Its description in RNAcentral is "Lysine riboswitch". It matches the Rfam family "Lysine riboswitch aptamer". Rfam says of the family: Riboswitches are metabolite binding domains within certain messenger RNAs that serve as precision sensors for their corresponding targets. Allosteric rearrangement of mRNA structure is mediated by ligand binding, and this results in modulation of gene expression. The record is from RNAcentral.
ACCAGAAGAGGCGCGUUACUCAGGUAAGCUGUGGAGAAAUUCAGAUUUCGCAGAAACAGUCCGAGGGGAUGUAACGCCGAGGUUCCGCGGAGUCUGAAGCCGCCGGACCGGCUACAAAGGCUGAAUCCUUUGGGCUGUCACAGAUGUGAAGAGCUUCUGG